UUCUCAUUCCGAAUCUCCGAUCCAUCCCUAAAAACAACUGACGAGAGAUCGAUGAUGAUGAAGAUGCCUUGGAGGAGGAAGAGCAGGAGCUUCCAUCUUCAGCUACAAGGGGCAAUUGGUACCAUUCAAUCUCCAUUCCUAUUCUUAUUUACCAAUUAUUGCCAUUCUUCUACUUCCACACUUGAAGAUGCACGCUUCUUGACAAAUAACUUCAAAUCUGCUUCUUUUACCUGCCUUGAUGAUGCCAUUGCUUCCUUCAAUCAUGUAAUUCAUAAGCAUCCUCUGCCUUCUAGGGUUCCAUUUAAUAGAUUCUUAUCUGCACUUGUGAAAAUGAAACAAUAUCGCACUGUCCUUUCCAUGUCCAAAACAAUUGAAUUGCUAGGAAUCUCUCACGAUGUUUAUUCUCUUAACAUCUUAAUUAAUUGCUUCUGCCGUUUACAUCUCGUGGAUUUUGGCUUCUCUGUUUUCGGGAAGAUGUUCAAAUUCGGAUUGGAGCCUACCACUGUGACAUUUAAUACCUUAAUUAAUGGGCUUUGUAUGGAGAGCAAAAUCGAUAAAGCAGUGGAAUUUUUCGAUGAUAUGGUUGCACGUGGUUAUCAACCUGAUGUUCGUACUUUCAAUGUGAUAGUAAACGGAAUGUGUAAAUUUGGGAAAACAAAUGUGGCUAUUGGGCUACUAAAGGGAAUGGCUGAUAGAGGUUGUGAGCCAAAUGUUGUGACAUACAGUGCAAUCAUUGACGCCCUUUGCAAGGAUGAGCUAGUUGGUGAGGCUUUAGAGCUCUUCUCUCAAAUGAGGAAUAAGGGCAUUUCACCUGAUGUCAUCACUUACACUGGUUUAAUUCACGGCGUUUGCAAAUUAGGCCAAAAGAACCAAGCUUUGGCCUUGAUGAAUGAAAUGGUGCAGCAGAACAUAUUACCAGAUGUUUAUACCUUCAAUGUAUUGAUUGAUGCUCUUUGUAAGGAUGGAAUGGUUUCAGAGGCUCAAAAUACAUUCAAUGUAAUGAUUCAAAGAGGUGUAGAGCCUAAUGUGGUCACCUACACUUCCUUAAUUGAUGGUCUUUGCAUUUCAGACCAAUUCAAGGAAGCUUUGGCCUUGUUGAAAGUAAUGGUGGGGAGGAACAUAUCCCCUAAUGUUUUUACCUUCAAUAUAUUGAUCGAUACCCUUUGUAAGAAAGGACUGGUUUCAAAUGCAGAGAAUAUAAUCAAAAUAAUGAUUCAAAGAGGUGUGGAACCUAAUGUUGUCACUUAUAGUUCAUUGAUGGAUGGAUAUUGUCUGUGCAAGCAAAUUGAUAAGGCUAGAAAGGUAUUUGAUCUGAUGGUGACCAAUGAAAUAGCUGGCAUUUUUAGCUACACCAUUUUGAUCAAUGGAUAUUGUAAGUGCAAAAUGAUAGAUGAUGCAAAGGAAAUUUUUGAUGAAAUGUCUCAUAAAGGUUUAGUUCCUAAUGUUGUUACUUAUUCUACUCUUAUAGAGGGUAUGUUUCAAGCAGGGAGGCCCCAAACUGCAAAAGAGCUCUUUAAGGAUAUGUGCUCUCAUGGUCAACAGCCAAAUAUAGUAACCUUCUCAAUUAUGAUUGAUGGCUUGUGUAGACAGGGGAAUCUCGAUGAAGCACUCACCCUAUUGAAAGAAAUGGAGGAAAGUCAGUUGAAGCCUGAUCUUGUGACCUAUAGCAUUCUGAUCAAUGGUAUGUGCAAAGCUGGCAAGAUUAAUGAUGCCAAGGAACUGUUUUCUAGUCUUUUUGAAAAUGGUUUACAACCUGAUGUUUAUGUAUAUAGUACAAUUAUGAAAGGACUCUGCCAACAAGGAUUAAUGGAUGAAGCCUAUAAGGUAUUUAAAGACAUGGAAAAGGUAGGAUGUUUACCAAAUAAUUGUUGUUAUAAUAUCAUCAUUCAAGGGUUUCUCAAGCAUGAGGAUUUACCAAAAGCAUCAGAACUAAUCAUUGAAAUGGUUGAUAAGGGGUUCUCUGCUGAUGCUGCUACCACAGAACUGGUAGUACAUUUAUCGCUGAAUAAUGAUCUCAUUCUGAGGCUUUUAAAGGUGCGCAAUGAGGGAUCAGCAAACUAAAGUUGUUAUAUCUUGACCAUUCAAGUGUGUCUUGGAGCGCAACUUGGUACUUGCAAGGAUAUGAUUACAACUUCGCCUUUCUAACCAUAAAGGGUGCAGGAUAUACAGUCCCAGAGUACAGGUAAGAGAAUCACUAGACUUCUACACCUGUUGGUUGGAUGAAAUGUCACUAAAAUUAUAGAUAACAGAAAAUGUUAUGGGAAUUGAGGGAAAAACAAACAUCCUCUUUGUCACCUUUUUUUUUUUUUUUUUUUUUUCUAGUCAUCAAGUUGGGUAUAUAUAUAUAUAUAUAUAUAUAUAUAUAUAUAUAUAGAUCCUUAAUUUCUUUUAUUUUCCUUCAAGUCAAAUUAGUAAAAUCAUUGCAUUAGCAUCUAAUAAUAUGAAGUUCACAAUCUUUUCCAAUGAAAUCAAUUUUUUAACAUGAAAAUUUGAAUUUUAGAAAUGCUUGUCGAAGGUAUAUAUAUAUUCUUCCCUUUGAGAUUCUUUACUUUGUGCCAAGUUGAUUGGAUGUACUGUUUGAGAUGUUAGUUAAGUUAUGCAAGAAAAGUUGUUUUGGUUGUU
This is an RNA transcript of Manihot esculenta (cassava), 2622 nucleotides long. It is a transcript of the gene named putative pentatricopeptide repeat-containing protein At1g12700, mitochondrial, with no coding region annotated. The record is from RefSeq and is a predicted model, not a curated record. NCBI's taxonomy places the organism in Eukaryota, Viridiplantae, Streptophyta, Magnoliopsida, Malpighiales, Euphorbiaceae. The transcript has 3 exons.